This 406-nucleotide ribosomal RNA is filed under the name uncultured bacterium. RNAcentral describes it as "partial 16S ribosomal RNA". It matches the Rfam family "Bacterial small subunit ribosomal RNA", at positions 30 to 526 of the family's 1533-position model. The record is from RNAcentral.
AUUGAACGCUGGCGGCAGGCCUAACACAUGCAAGUCGGUCGAGCGGCGGACGGGUGAGUAAUGUAUGGGGAUCUGCCUGAUGGCGGGGGAUCACUACUGGAAACGGUCGCUAAUCCCGCAUACCAUCAGAUGAACCCAUAUGGGAUUAGCUAGGAGGUGCGGUAACGGCUUACCUAGGCGACGAUCCCUAGCUGGUCUGAGAGGAUGAUCAGCGACACUGGGACUGAGACACGGCCCAGACUCCUACGUGAGGCAGCAGUGGGGAAUAUUUGACAAUGGGCGCAAGCCUGAUGCAGCCAUGACGCGGGUAUGAAGAAGGCCUUCGGGUUGUAAAGUACUUUCAGUCGGGAGGCGUUACCGACAGAAGAAGCACCGGAUAACUCCGUGCCAGCAGCCGCGGUAAUAC